AGUGAACGCUGGCGGUAGGCCUAACACAUGCAAGUCGAACGGCAGCACAGUAAGAGCUUGCUCUUACGGGUGGCGAGUGGCGUACGGGUGAGGAAUACAUCGGAAUCUACUUUUUCGUGGGGGAUAACGUAGGUAAACUUACGCUAAUACCGCAUACGACCUACGGGUGAAAGCAGGGGAUCUUCGGACCUUUCGCGAUUGAAUGAGCCGAUGUCGGAUUAGCUAGUUGGCGGGGUAAAGGCCCACCAAGGCGACGAUCCGUAGCUGGUCUGAGAGGAUGAUCAGCCACACUGGAACUGAGACACGGUCCAGACUCCUACGGGAGGCAGCAGUGGGGAAUAUUGGACAAUGGGCGCAAGCCUGAUCCAGCCAUACCGCGCGGGUGAAGAAGGCCUUCGGGUUGUAAAGCCCUUUUGUUGGGAAAGAAAAGCAGCCGGUUAAUACCAAGCUGUUCUGACGGUAACCAAAGAAUAAGCACCGGCUAACUUCGUG
RNAcentral lists this ribosomal RNA (492 nucleotides) under uncultured bacterium. RNAcentral describes it as "partial 16S ribosomal RNA". It matches the Rfam family "Bacterial small subunit ribosomal RNA", at positions 29 to 507 of the family's 1533-position model. The record is from RNAcentral.